GUCGAACGAAAAGGCAGAUCGUACGUAUUUCUCAACGGCAAAGAACAACGACAUUAUAAUCGAUUUUGAUAAUACAUUAUUUGUAUUAUUUCUUUUAAAUAAUUACUUUCGAAUUAAUCUUCAUAAUUAAUUCCCAUAAAGGAGAGAAAAAAGAAAAAAGGAAAAAGAAAAAGAAAAGAACGUGAAUCCCUUCUAAGAAUAAGGCCUAUUAUUUUCUUAUUCUGCGAAAAGGAAGACAGGCAGUAUGGGUUUUAUCUCAAUCAUUAACAUAAUUCUCAUAUGCAUAAUUUUUGCAACGAUCACGUUACGAGGCACUGCCGUCAAUAAUAACUUCACUGGGAGACUGAGAUCCUAUACGCCACAAAUAAUUACGGCACCACCGAAAUCAUGUCCAUCUGGAGAAAAACAUGAUUCCGCUGGUGUAUGUCGGAAAAUAAUAUAACGAUAUAAAUUUUCGAAUCGUUCGUAAAAAAAAAAAAAAAAAUAAUUAAUUUUAUAU
Long non-coding RNA from Vespa mandarinia (Asian giant hornet), 499 nucleotides. NCBI's taxonomy places the organism in Eukaryota, Metazoa, Arthropoda, Insecta, Hymenoptera, Vespidae. The record is from RefSeq and is a predicted model, not a curated record.